GUGCGCCUGCUCAGAGCAUGCACAAUCAACCUCGAGGGCUGCGUGUUCUAACCGCUCUUCACUGGCCUCUGGGCUUCUCAUUGUGCGCAGCCCACUGACACCUCAGAGCUCCCGGCACCUCAGCUGAGUCCUCAUUUUCUUCUGCUUUUGCCACCUUGGCUUCACCUCACUCAGACAGGCUCAGUGCCCAGUUCUGGGUGUCCUUCCCUCCCGGGCUGCUUGGAAGUGAGCCGCCCUCGGGUGCUUGCCAUCUGGGGACCAUCUAGAAGUUAAAUAUCCUUUCCAGAUGGGCAAAUAGACUUCAGCCUGUUCACCACUUAAGACAGUCAGUUAUGUUUCGAAGCUGAUGACAUCGGUCCCUCGCAUAAUCUUGCUACUACAAGAUUGAGGUGAAGAUUCUGGGAAACUCCAGGAGGAGCUACGCCCACCAAAGAAUGGAAGAAAGGUCUAUCCCACCGUGUACUUAUACAGAGCACCCUCAGAGUGGUACUCGCUUCUCCUGCGAUCAUUCUUUAAGACUUUAAGUUUUUAAGAGGAGUCAGUGAAGUUGGCUCGGAUAAGAAGCCAGUCACCUCAUGUGAGUUCGUUGGCCAAUGCCUUGCUUUGUGGCCGGUUGUUGUGCUUCUUUCAAACAGAGACUUUUGCGAGCAGGGCUCCGCUAGAGUCUCUGGCUCAGCCUCAUCCAGUUCUUUCCUGCCAGAGAGGGUAACGAAGCCAUUGAGUUGACCCGGAAGGAAUGCUUUUCCAUGUUGGGACCGGGAAGAGGCCUUCUUCACCCGCCUUUCUCAGUCUCAGUUUUCAUCGUCCGUCGCAGAAUCUUCAAUGCUGCUGCUACAGCCACUGCUACUGUUGCAGAGGGAGGCGAUCUCUCCGCACCCUGUUGGUUUCCUUUAUAGGAUUCAUCAAGGACCCGCGUUUAGAGAUAACUGAGUGCUAACAGCUUAGUGUCUUAGCAGACCAAAGCUAUAUCAGACGGCAGUGCCAAUCAGCCUGCUAGGUCUUUCUCCUCUCAUGCUGUAGACUGGACUGUUGGGAUCCUAUUUUAUUUGUUGGCUACUGAAGUACUUUCAGUCAUCGAGUUUUCUGACUUGUCCCCAAUCUUGUCUGACCCUUGACCCUCACAACAAAAGUGUAGUGAAGUGUUUUUGUUUUUUUGUUUUUGUUUUUAAAAUUUGAGCUGACCUUGGUUUAAAUUUUACAUCUGCUUUUGGUGUCCUACUCAGUAACUCCAGUGGAAAUUCUUGAAACCCAUGAAUUCCCAUUGCUCAGCCAUGGCUUACAAUAUCUUUUACUAUUGACCCCCUCAUGGUUCUAGCACCCCAGCUCUUUCCUCAUAGCCUGCCUCCUGCAUAAUGGAGUCACCUGCACCCAUGUAUGUGGAUUCUCCUCUCCCUUUCAUACUGACCAAUCCUCUAGAGACUUUUUCCAGUGACUUAACUCAUCAGUCCACCAUGGCCUCUGCAGUUAUGGCGUCCAUUCGGGGUCGAGAAACCAGGCCUACAUGACCAGGGCAGAUCUGUGGUGAUUGCAGGGGCCCAUACCACUUCUGUGCUUGGAGAGAACUCAGCUCAUGACUAGCCUGAUUAGAAUAUAGUUGUAGCAGCCCAAGGCCAAUGCCAUCUCUGGGCUGCAGCUCAGGGGCCCCAGAGAAGCCAGAAUUGAACUGCAUGGGGGAGCUGUGUUUUCUGCAUAAGGUCAGUGCAUGGUUGUUGCCUCCCUGUUAGAAGCAAACCUUUAAUAUUGAGGAGAUGGGAAUAAAUGUAGCAGGAAGGGGGGAUGGGCAGGUGUUUCUAGACUUCAGUGUGUACUCCCUCACAUAAACCCUGACCCCCUGUGUGUGGACAUCCCCAGAAAAGGUCCCAGGCUCUGCCAGCUUCUUGAAUUUAUGCUGUAGGGUGGUGGGCUGUGAAGAUAUCCUGAUUCCUGGUCAGGAUAGGUUUAAUCCCCAGGGGACCCAAAGGGACGGCAGUCUCCUAGGAGAUCAGGGCCAUCUCACAUAGCUGUAGCCCCCACAGACCCCUGUAGGCAGAUCAGUCACAGUCACAUAGGGCAACACCCCAAGCUUCUCCUCCACAGAUGAGGAUGUGACCUCAGGUCACUUAGGCUCAAGACAGAGCAGUCGCAGAAGCAGGACCACGCCCCCAAAUGUGUAGGUGAGGACUUCCCAAGCUCUGAGGCCAAAUCAAUAGAAGUACCUGCUGUCUGACACUGAACCGUCCAAAAGCUGUAUUUAAGAAUUGUGUUCAGAAGGAUUAAGAGUGUGUAGGAAUUAUUCCAUCAUCUGAGAGCUUCUGUCCUAAGAGCUGUAACUCUGCUGCUUGGGGAAAAGAUCCGCUCUCCUGAAAUCACGGCCAGAAGUUCCUCUGUGCCUAUUGCCGGCCAGUCAGUCUCCUGCUGGCCCAGCCUGGUCAACCAACCAAAGCGGCAGUGGCAGAGAGGAGGACCGGCAGGUCCUCAGGGGCUGUGAAAGCUGUUCCCCCUCCCUGCCCGAGUUCUCUUCCCUUCUCCUGAAUCCAGAUUUCCCCCAGUGCACACAGCCCCAUAUUAUGCUACUUUAAUAAACAAACAAACAAACAAAACCUUUCUUUGGGCCAAGAGCCACAGCUCAGCCCUGGUUUUGAGGUCAUUAAUGGGCAGUGGUAGGAGCUACUUUCCCAGUGCUUCUCUGGUUCCUGGCUUACCACCUUUUGUCUCUCAACAGCUCAAAGUUGCAGUCUCCACGUCUAUGCCUUUUUUUGACUUUGAUGGAAUUGAUGUGGGUACAAUGCCUCCUCCCCGACCCUUCCUCCCACUACCUCCUCCCCUUCACACUGUUCAUGGAUCAGCAUCUCAUAACUGUGUUUCUAUCACCUUGCCUGCACAGUUGUUCCACCGCCUAAGCACCACCCUUAAACUUCCUUUGGUGAUGAUAUGAUCAGGUAGGGCUCUUUAUCCUCUGUUUGGAGCUUCUGCUAUGACAGCUCCUCCUUUGCCACAUCUUGGCCAUUCAAUUGGCAGCAAAACUCAAGUCAGCCUUGCGUGCCCGUCACGCAACGUAGCUUAGCAUCUUGUCCAUUGACAGAGCUACUGACAGAAAUCUGAGUGCAGGGGACAGUAAUCGGCCGUGUGUCCAUACUGCCACGAGACAACUUGUAGCCACAAGGUCUAUGGCCCAGGUGUCAGUUUUACGCCUGGAACACUUUUCUGCUUUCCUGAGGGAACACAGACAUUGACACCACGGUCUUGCUGUCUUGUAGCAAGCACUCUGGCUGAAAUAUACAGCGUAUCUCUGUGAAGAGCCCAUCUGUCCUUGGAGUCAUUCUUCUUUCAUGCCUAUGGUCAGUCAUAGUCAGCUGAGUGAAGGUGACCUCUUACUGUUGGGGGCGCAGGCAUCGCCGAGAAGAUGGGAACGCCAAGUGGCAAUGUUGUGCCUUCUUGCAGUCAAACGACCCGAGUGGGACCCAUUCUACCAGAGUGCAGCCUGUUGUAGUAGCAGGUGCUGCCAGUACCAUAUGUGUUGGGGGAGACUUCUCACCUCCUGUCAGAACUCUUGGUAAACCCCCUGGCGGAAACUUGGUAAACUUCUGGUGGGAGUGGAGGAUCUCAGCAUUCCUUUGACGUUUAGGGAGUCUUCUUGUGACCAGUCUGACUACCUGGGGCAUACCUGACCGGAACUCAUUUGUAGACAUCCCAAAGGCCAGGUUCACUUUCUGGGCUUAUAGGCUCUUACAUUCUCACAUAUAGGCACUGGGUUAUAUGGGCUGAAAGCAUUGUAGCAGGAGACCUAUAGGACUCAGGCUGGGGGCAGGGGAGAAGGGGCGGGGGUGUUUCUCUUUAUGCUCUCCUGAGCUGGGGAGAUUGUAGCCAAAAUGCUUUUGUUAUAGUCAGAGGGACCAAGACUGUGUUUUAGUGUGGCAUAGCUCUUUUUUUUUUCCUUUGCCUCAGUCAAAAUACCUGGUCAACAAGUUAUGGUACCUCCUUCAACUUUUGGGGAGACAGCACCGCUGAGGUAUCACCUGUGUUUGAAGGUAUUAAGAACUUUUGGGUUAGGAUAUCGAAGCUCUGGUGUGCACAUGUUUUGCAAGUGCUAUGUCUUUAUCAAACCCAGAAGUGUUUGUUGGGGACAGAGGGGUCAUAGGAACACCGACCGUUCUUUUUUUCCUGGUUCAGGGUCUCUGCAAAGUAAAGAAGCAAAAGCUACUUAAAAGCCAAAGCAACUGCCCUCCUCAGAAGACUGUGAAGAGGAUCAGUUGCAAAUAUUCAGGCCAAAUGAACUUCACUUUCUAACUUCUCCUGCCAACUUCUGAAGUAAGGGAUGUCAGGCUAGGUGGACACAAGGCUCCAGGACACAGAGGCAGGAUGAUGUGGUCUUGCUUCAUUUUUGUCAGCUGCUUCCCAGUGCUCCAAUGUCCCUGCUGGUGGCAUUGUCCCAGAUGCGUGUUGGAAACUCUACCUGAUGUUCCUCCCUUAACAUAUUUCAAUGCCUCUUUUAGUGCGUGAUCUAUUAAAAACCAAUGGGAUGUAAGCCUGCUUCUGUCUCCAUGGCUAUGACGAAGUACCUAAGACUGGGAAGUUUAUAAACAGAGACAUGGAGGUUGGGGUGUCCACGAUCAAAGGCACCAGCAGGUUCACUGUCGUUGAGGAUGUCUUUCUCCUACUUGAUACCAUGUUACAUGUCCUCAGAUAUGGAAGGAAGAAUGGGUCUGAGGAUGUGUUCAUUGCCAUAAAAGUGGAAGAUUACACCCUUUGAUAAAGGUCCUGACCCCCACUCAUAGGGAAUCCAUGAGUUAAUAACCCAAUGUAGGCUCAUCUCUUGGUGCUUAUCACACUGACUGGUGAUAUUUCCCAUGUGAAGUUUGGGGAGCAUCCUUAGCCCAAAGUACGAAACAGUGCCCACACCUUAUGUCACUUUGAAGGGAUAAAUUGAGCAUCUGGAAGCACAAAGGAUGGGCAGGCUGGCACCUAUUCCGCAGUGAUUGAAAACAUUAUGUCUGAACCAUUAUUAGCUGCUGCUUAAAACUCUUAAAAUGCCCCUUAACCAGAAUGCUCAGAUUAGGGGUCCAUUAGGAAAAAGGCCUAGUUCAAUCUGGCUCCAGUCUGCCAUAAAUCUCAAACAGCAAGCAUCACAGUUGUCCCCGGUAGGGUAGGGUUGGGUUGGCCUUGUGUUCUGCUGGGCCACCACUGGAUCUGGGUUCCAUCAAUGCAAGCUUUCUCGAGGUCCUUCAAUAGGAGAGCGCACUUAAGAUGGGAGAGAGUAGUGUGGGCACGUCCCCUCAGCUCUACACUUUCUCUUGGGCUUGGAUUCCGUUCCGCCCCUACAAUCAUAGACCAUGUGAUGUGCUUGUCCUAGAGAGCAGAAUGUGCACUCUCUCUCAGUGGUGUUUACAAUGGGAGAUGGACAAAGUGGGAAAGACCGAUGAAGAGACUCAGAGUUGCAAUUGGAAGGUCACUGUUGUAAGUAGGUCCUGAAACUGAAGUGAUGGGUAGAAGUAACUCCAGUUGCAUCUUGAAGUAAGAGGAAGCAGCAAGGUAGAAAUGGGCUGUUUCCAAGCCAAGGAAAUGAUGUGUGAAAAGUCCAGAAAGGGGAAGCAUUAUGAGCAGGACUCGGGCAGGGAGUCGCAAUUAACUGGUAAGCCAGUUUGGACUGGGAUUUAGAGUUCUAGGAUUUGGCAGAAAGAGAUCGAACUUACUGUUACAGUAAGUGCUUUAGAAACCUAUCUAUUGAGUCCUUUAUCAAAGAGUCAAGAGGCCUUAGGCUCAAGACCAACUGCUGCCCAGAGACAGAGCAAAGGGAAAUGCCACAGUCAUGCAUAGACAUGACAGACUUGGAAAAGUGAGAAGCAGUAGAUGUGACAGCAGAGAGAGAAGGCAAGGAGGUGACUUAGAUGCCUGGGACAGCAAUGGCCUAGCCGGGCUAAGAGGGAGGCAUAUAGGAUGAUGAAGAGGGUCAUAACUUUGUGGAAUCUCUCUCUCUCUCUCUCUCUCUCUCUCUCUCUCUCUCUCUCUCUCUCUCGUGUGUGUGUGUGUGUGUGUGUGUGUGUGUGCGCGCGCGCACGCGAGCGCGCGCACACAUGGGUAGAGGGGUGCUCAGCAAAUCAUCAGAUUUCCUGGGAGCUGGACUUAUGGGCAUUUGUGGGCCAUGUGAUGUGAGUGGCAGGGAUCUGAAUAGUGAUUACAAAGUGAAAUAGAGCCUGUUUACAGCAGGAAGAAUUUCCCAAGAUUAAAAUUUUUUUUUUUUAUCCUCGAAGACAGUACUGUCAACAUCCAAAAGUCUUCAUUUUAAAAACAUACAGGAGAUUCAAAGCAAGAAGGUCAAACCUCUCAGGGAAAUGGAAGACACGAAUUUGAUAAGGCAGAGACUGGGAAAACACUUGCAAAAUCCACCUGAAGUGGAUAUGGUGGCUUAUAGAAUCUCCACACUUGAAAUACUAAGGCAGGAAGAUUGCUGUGAGUAUGUGGUCAGCCUAGACUACACAGCGAGUUUGAGGUCAGCUUGGGUUAUUGAGUGAGCACUUGCGUCAAAACAAAACCUACCAAGAAUGAAACGCCCACCCAGAACGAAAGUGUAUCUAGCAAAUGAUCAGUGUGCAGAAUACAUGAAAACAGUCUCACACCCAACGACAAAAUGCUAAGGCACACGGCAGAGUAAUUUCAAGAUUUGUGCAUUUCAUUAUGAGAGAAGCCCACAUGUAUCUAGUAAGAACAUUUGAAAGCACUUCAUUAUUUAUUGGGGAAAUGAGGAAAUUAAAACCAUAUCGAGAUGUCCUCACAGAUCAAAUUUGAGAAAUGUCAGCUGGGCCAUAAAGCUCUUAGAACUCUCUUAGGUCUCAAACAGUGCUGUGGGAGAAAUUCACAUAUGUAGGAGCCAGGAUCCAGGCAGGGGUGAGGGAGGCACAGUCCAGAAAACAGACUCUGGAGACCAGCGUCGGUCUGUGGGAAGUGGGUGUAGCGGCAAUCCCAAGAUGGCGCCUAGGGAGUCUUAAGGCUAGCACCUGAAAGUAAGCCACGCCUCAUCGUGAGAGCUGCGCAGGCGCACCAUGACGCUAGAUCAGGCCAUGUGAUGUGGACCUAUGAACGGAGGUUACGCAGACUGGACGGUUGAGGCGGAGUUGAGGGAGGUUGUAAGGGAGUGCGCUUGGGGGCUGGAGAGAGAUCGUUGCUGCUUGCAGACAAAAGGGUUCCUGAAUAAACUGCUUUGAGACUGCUUUGGUGUCGCUCCUUUCCUGCUGGUCGGGGUUGGAAGCGACAUCAGUCGAAGUGCAGAUCUACUGUAUUAUUACCUAGCAUUUUUUGUACAGCCUUUGGACCAAUGUGGAAUCAGCAUGAGCUCUGGAGUAGCCAACCAUACCGCUGUUACUAUGGGGAGGUGCCAGACUCCCUGGACCUGAGAGGACUUCCUUAAAGAUGGGGGAAACUGUCACCACCCUGUUUUGGGCCCAUUCUGAUUUUCCACCAGUUUGCUAGGACUGUUUAUUUCAUGUCACCAAGUAUGCCAUCAUAUGUGGACACUCAUUCUACUAGGGUGUUAUGGAAGCCUCUCUCACUGUCCUCCAGACCCCAUCCAGGGGCCGCAGCACCCACACCCAUAGGGCAUCAUGAAGCUAACCAUAUCCUCAUCCCAACUACACAGUUUUAUUUGUUUAUUCUCGAGAAUGAAAACCUAUGAAUACUGAAAGUCUACCAAAGUGUUCCCAACAGGUUUAUCUGUAGUAGAAGUUGGCAACAUUUUCAGCCACUUGAGUGCUUACCCAGCCAUCAGCAGGCAAGAACAUGGAGAAUCUCAAAUCCUUUACAUGAGCAGGAAGCAUGGAAGAGUGCUCUGUGUACGCAUGUGCAUGGAAAAUGCUAGAACCACCAAAGCUAAGCAGAAGGGGUUGGAGAGAUAGCUCAAUUGGUAAAACACUUGCCUUGUAAGUGUGGGAACCUGAAUGCAGUCCUCGGAACCCACAUAAUUAAAAAAGUUGGGUGUGGUAGCAUGUAAUUAUCUUCCAGAAAAAUGUGACCUUGGUCUGUCAGGACAAGGAACUGGAUCCAGCUACGAACCCUACCAUGAUGACUUCAGCUUUGUGGUACCCCUAACAGGGAGCCUGUCUGCUUGCAAGAGGCCUCCUGAUCCCUGGAGACCGAGAUACUGCAAGUCUUUUAGUUUGUGGUGAUUCAGUAUUUAGUGAUUAAAAAGUAAUUGGUCACAUAUCCAGUGACAUAGGAAGGCAUUUGAGCAUUUUCCAGUCCCAGGACGUACCUGGAGGUAAGUUAUGGGAUAGAAGGAAGUGAGUGCUUGAACUCCUUGGAGGCAGAACUACAGGAAGAUGAGGAAAAAGCCUGGGAGAAUGUGUUGCCUAAACUGAACCAAGAGGUGGGCAUUGUUUUUACGGGGGUUUGGUGCAAGAUGGGAAUUUCCAGGCUUCCAAAGCCACCAUACUUCUGUAUCCUCAGAUGAGAUUCAAAACCUUGCCCAUGGGAAGAAGCUGUGAUUGUUUGUAUAUGCUCGGCCCAGGAAUUGACACUACUAGAAACUGGGGUGGGCAUAGCCCUGUUGGAGUAGGUGUGCCACUGUGGGUGUGGGCUAUAAGACCCUCAUCCUUGCUUGCCUGAAAGGCAGUAUUCUGCUAGCAGCUUUCAGAUGAAGAUGUAGAACUUCUUCCUGGAUGCUGCCAUGCCUAUGAUGAUAAUGGACUGAACCUCUGAACCUGUAAGCCAGCCCCAAUUAAAUGUUGUCCUUUAUAAGACUUUCAUUGGUCAUGGUGUCUGCUCACAGCGGUAAAACCCUAAUUAAUACAGAAGUUGUAUCUGGCACACCCAGAAAUGCCACUGUGAUGCCAUUUAGUCAGGAAACUAGGUGCUUUGACCAUCAACAUGUGUACCUUGAUGUGACUUGAUCUUUGGUAGAACUUUAUUCCAAACAGAUGUCAGGGACAGUGACAUAGAAGCUUCUCAAAGUAAUAGAGUUGAUCUUAUAAAAGAUUUGCUAAUAGACUUGCCUAGGAGGUAUUAAAUCACACAAAAUAGAAUUCAGAUAAGGGAAUAACAUCUCCAAAAUACCACCAGGGUAAGCAACAAGCUAGCCAGGCCUCUUAGAGAUAGGAGAGAUUUACAAUGCUAGGGUGUAAAUGCUUGUUUACCGUGAUUGGCCUCCCAUUAGGCUCCACCCCCAAAGAACAUGCCUCUAAUAACAGCUAGCUCAAGGGAGCAGUGCCAGGUCACAACUGAUGCUAAAUUCCGGCCUGCCAUGAAGCCCCCGAUUCUCUCCUCGAGAAAAGCAUCAUCCUGCCAGAUGCACAAGAUGACCCCGGGUAACAUCUAUUUGAAAAGACCAACACUGGUGUACUUAAGAAAUCAUUCUGGCAAUAUCAUUUGCUGAGUAAACCUCCUGCCUUCCCCAGAGGCCAGACUUGUAGUCUCCUGUUUCUGUUUAAAGUGUUCAAAGUGCAACUCGAGGUCAAGACCCGCAGAACAUUUAAGCGUAAGUAAAAUAUACAAGCCUAUGGUGUGUGUAAGUUAGUAAAUCUUCUGUUCAGGAUCGACUCUUAUUUCAGUAUUAGCCCCAGUUGGUCAUGUGCUUAAGUAAACAGUUCACCUUCAUUUCUAAGAGUGUAGUGAUUAGUCACUGAGAAGGUGUUCAUUUCUACAACUGCACAGAGAUUGUCCACACAGACUCAAAAGCCUCUUUAGGUUGGUUUGAGUGUCGAUCUAUCCCUGUAGAACCUACUUCCCUGUGUCUUUCCCACUCAGCUUUCUUCUCCCCAGUGAGCCAGCCCCAGCUCUGAGGACUCACGCUCCUCUCUCAGACAGCCCUGGGAUUUUAGGAUGGAGUUUACAAGGAAAGAAAGGAAAGGCUUAUCUUUUCUUGAUCGUUUUCCCUCUAUUUUCAGAAAUCGAGUUUACUCCUUCAAUUAUUCUGAGCCUGGGAAGAAUCCUGGCACUCCAGCCUCAAGCUUUUUUGCAGGCUGGCACAAGCUGGAGCAAUCUAGAAAGAGAGAAUGUCAACUAAGGAAGUACCUCCAUCAGCUUGGUCUGAAGACAAGCCUUGGGACAUUUUUAAAUUCCUGAUUCACAUGUGAGGGCCCAGCCCACUGUGAGUGGCGUCACUCCUAGGCAUGCGGUUCUGGACUGUAUAGAAAGAUGGCUGAGCGAGCCAUGGAGAAAAGCCAUUAAACCCCAUUCCUUUGUGGUUUCUGCUUCAGUUCCUGCACUCAGGUUCCUGCUUUGAGUUCCUGCCCUGACUUCCCUUCAUGACGGACUUUCACCUGUAAACCAAAAUAAACCCCUUUCUCCUCAAGUUGCUUUUACACUGUCUGCAUCAUAGCAAUAGAAAGAAAACUAGAACAGCCAUAAGCUGUGCUAAUAUUCUGCUGUAUUUUUUCAAUUGCGUCUUUCCUCUAUAUAUUUUUAAU
This is a non-coding RNA of Rattus norvegicus (Norway rat), 10373 nucleotides long. NCBI's taxonomy places the organism in Eukaryota, Metazoa, Chordata, Mammalia, Rodentia, Muridae. The record is from RefSeq and is a predicted model, not a curated record.